This 494-nucleotide ribosomal RNA is filed under the name uncultured bacterium. Its description in RNAcentral is "partial 16S ribosomal RNA". It matches the Rfam family "Bacterial small subunit ribosomal RNA", at positions 28 to 507 of the family's 1533-position model. The record is from RNAcentral.
GACGAACGCUGGCGGCGUGCUUAACACAUGCAAGUCGAACGGUUAAGCGCCUUCCUUUUUGGUGGGUGUGGAUGAGUGGCGAACGGGUGAGUAACACGUGAGUAACCUGCCCCCUUCUUCUGGAUAACCGCAUGAAAGAGUGGCUAAUACGGGAUAUUCUGGGUCUGUCGCAUGAUGGGUCUGGGCACGAUAUUGUUUCGGUGGGGGAUGGGCUCGCGGCCUAUCAGCUUGUUGGUGGGGUGAUGGCCUACCAAGGCGGUGAGGGGUAGCCGGCCUGGGAGGGUGGGCGGCCACAGUGCGGAGGAGACACCGAGCAGACUCCGACGGGAGGCAGCAGGGGGUAUUAUUGAACAAGGGGCGGAAUGAUGCUGCAGCGCCGCGGGGGGGGGGAUGGAGUCCGGCUGGUUGAGAACCUCUUGUGGGAGGGAAGCAGGCCUGCUUCAUUUGUUGGUGGGUUGACGGUAGCUGGAUAAGAAGCGCCGGCUAACUACGUG